AGUGAACGCUGGCGGUAGGCCUAACACAUGCAAGUCGAACGGCAGCACAGUAAGAGCUUGCUCUUACGGGUGGCGAGUGGCGGACGGGUGAGGAAUACAUCGGAAUCUACUUUUUCGUGGGGGAUAACGUAGGGAAACUUACGCUAAUACCGCAUACGACCUACGGGUGAAAGCAGGGGAUCUUCGGACCUUGCGCGAUUGAAUGAGCCGAUGUCGGAUUAGCUAGUUGGCGGGGUAAAGGCCCACCAAGGCGACGAUCCGUAGCUGGUCUGAGAGGAUGAUCAGCCACACUGGAACUGAGACACGGUCCAGACUCCUACGGGAGGCAGCAGUGGGGAAUUUGGGACAAUGGGCGCAAGCCUGAUCCAGCCAGACCGCGUGGGUGAAGAAGGCCUUCGGGUUGUAAAGCCCUUUUGUUGGGAAAGAAAAGCAGCAGGUUAAUACCCCGCUGUUCUGACGGUACCCAAAGAAUAAGCACCGGCUAACUUCGU
This 491-nucleotide ribosomal RNA is filed under the name uncultured bacterium. Its description in RNAcentral is "partial 16S ribosomal RNA". It matches the Rfam family "Bacterial small subunit ribosomal RNA", at positions 29 to 506 of the family's 1533-position model. The record is from RNAcentral.